This 305-nucleotide ribosomal RNA is filed under the name uncultured bacterium. RNAcentral's name for it is "bacterial SSU rRNA". It matches the Rfam family "Bacterial small subunit ribosomal RNA", at positions 337 to 635 of the family's 1533-position model. The record is from RNAcentral.
GCCUACGGGGGGCAGCAGUAGGGAAUUUUCGUCAAUGGGCGCAAGCCUGAACGAGCAAUGCCGCGUGAACGAGGAUGGUCUUCGGAUCGUAAAGUUCUGUUGAAGGGGAAAAAGAGCGGAGAGAGGAAAUGGUCUCCGAUUGAUAUUACCCUUCGAGGAAGUUACGGCUAACUACGUGCCAGCAGCCGCGGUAAUACGUAGGUGGCGAGCGUUAUCCGGAAUGAUUGGGCGUAAAGGGUGCGUAGGCGGCCUGCUAAGUCUGGAGUGAAAGGUACCGGCUCAACCGGUACAGGCUCUGGAAACUG